UACGUAGGUGGCAAGCGUUGUCCGGAUUUAUUGGGCGUAAAGCGCCCGCAGGCGGCCCGCCAAGUUUCAGGUGAAAUCUCCCGGCUUAACUGGGAGGGGUCCUGGAAAACUGGCAGGCUUGAGGCAGGGAGAGGGAUGCGGAAUUCCUAGUGUAGCGGUGAAAUGCGCAGAUAUCAGGAAGAACACCAAUGGCGAAGGCAGCUCUCUGGGACGGUACUGACGCUGAGACGCGAAAGCGUGGGGAGCGAACAGG
Molecule: ribosomal RNA, 253 nt
Filed under: uncultured bacterium
Lineage: Bacteria
Description: partial 16S ribosomal RNA
Rfam family: Bacterial small subunit ribosomal RNA
Source: RNAcentral